GUUGCCCAUUCAAGUUUCUUUCGAGAAAUUCCAACCCUAUGCUAACUGAAUGAAGUUAAAUAGGGCUGACUUGGCAUAGAUGGAAAGAAAUAAUGUGUCUUUUUUCAAAGAUUUUAUUUAUUUAUUUGAGAGAGCUAGCAGAAGCCGAGGAGGGGAGCCCUGAGAAGCAGAGGGAAAGGGAGAAGCAGGCUCCCUGAUGAGAAGCCGACAGGGGACUUGAUUCCAGGACCCUCCUUUCCUUAAUUCCCCCCCGCCCCACCGCUAAUUUAGCUACAUUUGAGUGAAGCAACGGCUUUGCUGCAGCUUAUAGCACACUGAACCCUGAAGCCAUUUAGAGCUUCAAUCCUAGGUAGGCCACGUCUCAUUUCUGCUUAUUUUAGUCUGAGUCUCUCUUUGAGUUUCUCAGGAUCCCUCCCACCUUAGUUUUCUGUGACAUUUGUGGUCACUGGGCAAUGUGCUUACCUGCGUUACUCCUAACUGCCACCAGGUGGUGUCCAAUGCUGGAUCCCAUAGUUCACAUGUUCUUUUUAUUUUACAUAAGUCUGGGAAGACGUCAGUUUUGCUUUCACCAUAAAAAUAUACCCUUGAUAUAGAAUGUAAAGUGUUUAACCAUUAAUUGGCCACCAGUCUUGGAUAAUCACGACACACAUUUGUAUCAUGCUCUAUCACCGACAAAGUGUGUUCACAUUCUUUCCUUUUGUGUUUCUGAUAGAUCUUUAAGGCAAUAAGGCAGAUAUUUUCAUUUGCCAGACCUUACAGAUGACAGAAAGGGUGGGUUAUAUGGGCCAAAGUCACACAGUUGCUAAGCAGUAAGGCCUGAGUCAAUCCAAGCAACUUGUUCAACGCUGCGCUUUAAUGACACAAAUAAAGGAGGAACACCAGUUACAGGUUUUAAAGCCCCAGUAUUAUACAGCUCCACAAAAUUAUCAUCCCCUUAUUGCUUUUAGGAAACUGUUGAGGGUAUAUUCUGGGUGUGGCAUCUAUAUUUUUCCAUGCAGUCUAUGCCUGAGACCCACAGAGCAUUCACCUGUCUACUUUGCAGCUUUACAGGAAAUGUUAAUUGCCGUUUGUAAUCUUCAGUUUCCCUCUAUGCUGAAUACUCUUUCUUUUUGUCUUAUUUUGUACAAUGAAAGGCUGUCCCUCUUCUUUUAUUUUCUUGAAUAAUAAGGAUCCCUAAACAUGACACAUAGCUCAAAUGAAAUGUUAACACAUGAUUGUUUCUUCCUCAGUCAGGAAAAAAAAAUCCCUAGUAACUAAGUUGCUAUGUUCUCCUAGGAAGCUCAGCUAUUGUCACUGAAUACUCAGAUCUAGCUUUUCUUCUUAAAGGAUCCAAAACCAAUAUUUUCCUUAUAAGGAAUUUUAUGAUGAUUUUAAAAUAAAUUUUGGGGUACCUGGGUGGCUCAGUUGGUUAAGCAUCUGCCUUCAGUUCAGGUCAUGAUCCCAGGGUCCUGGGAUGGAGCCCCACAUUGGACUCUGCUCAGCAGGGAGUCUGCUUCAUCUUCUCCCUUUGCCCUUCACCCCAUUUGUGCUUUCUCUCAAAUAAAUAAAAUCCUUUUUAAGAUUUUAUUUAUUUAUUCAUGAGAGACACAGAGCGAGAGAGAGAGAGAGAGAGAGAGAGGCAGAGACACAGGCAGAGGGAGAAGCAGGCUCCAUGCAGGGAGCCCGAUGUGGGACUUGAUCCCAGGUCUCCAGGAUCAGGCCCUGGGCUGAAGGCGGUGCUAAACCACUGAGCCACCCAGGCUGCCCUCAAAUAAAAUCUUUUUAAAAAAAUAAAUUUUAAAAGUAGUUAAAAUGUGAUUUCCUUAUAACCAUCUACUCAUAGAUUAACUCAUGGCAAGCCAGUAAGAUUAUAAGUGCAUUUAAAAAAAAUAGUAGUUAUAGCAAUUUUUGUUUAUUGAUCACUCACAGGCUUAUAGACACUCUGCCAACCAUUUAAAAAAUUUUUGCAGCUCAUCUUCAUAAGAACUUUACACAGUAGAUAUCUUUAUUAUUUUUUCAUGGUGGAAAAAAUUAUGCUUAGAAUUAGCCAGCUGGACUGAGUUUAGGAGAUCCCAAUUUUGCCGGCAUCCUCCAAAGCACCAUAGAGGCUAGUAAAACAUACUUUCUUCCCUCCAUCAGGCCUAAUCAGGGUAUUGACCCUGGCUAUAUCAGUAUCAUAGACCUUCUUGGGGCGCCUGGGUGGCUCAGUGGUUGAGUGUCUGCCUUUGGCUCAGGUUGUGAUCCCAAGGUCCUGGGAUCAAGUCCUGCCUCCUCAUGCUCCCCAUAGGAAGCUGGCUUCUCCCUCUGCCUAUGUCUCUGCCUCUCUCUCAUGAAUUAAGAAAAUCUUUAGAAAAAAAUAUCAUAGGCCUUCUGGAUAACCUAUUUGAUCUGGGGCUUGUUGGCCUUUACAAGUAUAAUGAACAGAGAUGUGUGUUUGUGGUCAGGAGAGCUUGAUGGCAGAGUGGCCAAACCUGUUUCUCCUGGGGAGCACUCUCAUGAGGAUACUAGGCUGCCUGAAGAUAGGUGCCAUGUGUGUCAAGUGUGGCUGUGGACAUCUUUCAGCACCACUUUCUUGGCCUUCAAGGCCUUUGCUUUUCCGUUAGCUGUGAGAGGCAUGGGGGUUUCCUUCUUUGAUUGUGGCACCAUCUUCUUGAAAAGUCAUAGAUAACUUUAUUAUCUGUAUUUUCUAGGUAAAGAAACUGAAGCUUAGAGAAGUUCAAAGCCUAACUUCAGAAUAAGCAAUAAAGCUGGCAUUUAUUGCUGCCGGAAUACAGCAUCUUCAGGCUUCUUGGGCUUGAGAAUAAGUCAAUUUGAUUCUAAAUCCUUAAUAAUAAGCAUCCUGGGAUGCCUGGGUGGCUUAGUUAAGUGUCUGCCUUCAGCUUAGGUUAUGAUGCCAGGGUCCUGGGAUCAAGCCCCGUGUGGGGCUCCUUACUCAGUGGGGAGCCUGCUUCUCCCUCUCCCUCUGCCUGCCAUGCUCCCUCUCUCUGUGUCAAAUAAAUAAAUAAAACCUUUAAAAAUAAAGAAAGAGGGGGAUCCCUGGGUGGCUCAGUGGUUUAGCGCCGCCUUCGGCCCAGGGCCUGAUCCUGGAGACCCGGGAUCCAGUUCCACGUCGGGCUCCCUGCAUGGAGCCUGCUUCUCCCUCUGCCUAGGUCUCUGACUCUCUCUUUGUGUCUCUCAUGAAUAAAUUAAUGAAUCUUAAAAACAAUAAUAAUAAUCAUCCCUAUCACACCACUUUUGUUUUUUUCAACCAUCACCACUCUACCUUUGAAUGCUGCUUACAGCAGGGAAAAUCUGAGCAAGGCAACUCAGGGAAAGUAGAGCCUAAUGGAUUCAUGCAAACAAUUUUGCUUGAUAAUCCUAGGCUUUUAGAGAAUUUUGAUGUCAGAUAUUUAUUCUCCAUAUUCCCAUAAUCUUAGAAUGUAGGUGAGGGAAGACACCUCAUGAAACAAAUCUGUGUCCAUUAGCUGUCAUUCCUCUCUCCCUCCCCUCUAAUUUAAGAAGGAAAGAGAGUGGGGAUGCCUGGGUGGCUCAGCGAUUGAGCAUCUGCUUUUGGGCUCAGGGCGUGAUCUUGGGAUCCUGGAUGGAGUCCCACAUUGGACUCCCCACAGGGAGCCUGCUUCUCUCUCUGCCUAGGUCUCUGCCUUCCUCUCUGUCUCUCAUGAAUAAAUAAACAAAAAUCUUAAAAAAAAAAAAAA
Molecule: long non-coding RNA, 3674 nt
Filed under: Canis lupus familiaris (dog)
Lineage: Eukaryota; Metazoa; Chordata; Mammalia; Carnivora; Canidae
Description: lncRNA (ENSCAFG00805014197.1, ENSCAFG00845019803.1)
Source: RNAcentral